Molecule: unclassified non-coding RNA, 4641 nt
Filed under: Hevea brasiliensis (rubber tree)
Lineage: Eukaryota; Viridiplantae; Streptophyta; Magnoliopsida; Malpighiales; Euphorbiaceae
Source: RNAcentral
UCUCUCUCUCUCUCUCCCCCUCUUCUUUUCUCCAUAUGUAUAAAAGAGAGAACACAGCACCAAAUCUCAUCUUCGUCAUCCAAAAACCCCAAUUCGCUCAUCUCUCCUUCGAUCCAAUCCAACACCUCCUUUCUUUUUCUUUCCCUCCAAUUCGAUCUCAUAUAUACUUAUAAGCCCAUAAGUCAUCGAUCCAUGUAUUGUUAAUGAAUCCAUUUUUGUUCAAAUUGAAUCACGAUUUUUUAUUCUCUGAUUCGAUUGAAUCGAUCGUUUCGUGGAUCCGUUUUUUGCUAGAAAUGAGGCUGUAGAACUGGAAGAUUAGAUGAUGGAUGAAUCUGUGCUAGUGUAAUUCUUUUCUUUUUCUAACAAAAAAUUUUACACAAAAAAUAAGAUGCCAGGAAUAGCGCAGAGAAAUGAGCAAUUCAGUAAUGCAUCAUCGGGCGUUUACUCGCUUUCAGCCAAUGGAUUCUGGUCAAAGCACCGUGACGAUGUUAACUACAAUCAGCUCCAGAAGUUCUGGAGUGAGCUGUCACCACAAGCUAGACAGAAGCUUCUGCGGAUUGACAAGCAAACCCUGUUUGAGCAAGCUCGUAAGAACAUGUAUUGUUCUAGAUGCAAUGGUUUAUUACUCGAAGGUUUCUUGCAGAUUGUUAUGUAUGGCAAGUCUUUGCAGCAAGAAGGGGUAGUGGGCCACCUUUCUUGCAAUAGAACAUCAACCUCAGAAAAUCAAAGUGAUGGAGAACCAAAUAUGAUGAAUGGGUGCCAAGAUGAAAUUCAAGAUCCAUCGGUCCAUCCCUGGGGGUGUCUGACCACUACACGAGAUGGCUCUUUGACACUGUUGAAUUGUUAUUUGUAUUCGAAGUCCCUUAAGGGUCUACAAAAUGUCUUUGACAGUGCACGAGCAAGGGAACGGGAAAGGGAAUUGCUCUAUCCUGAUGCCUGCGGUGGAGGAGGUCGGGGUUGGAUAAGCCAAGGAAUGGCAAGCUAUGGUAGAGGACAUGGAACAAGAGAAACAUGUGCACUACAUACUGCGAGGCUUUCUUGUGACACAUUAGUGGAUUUCUGGUCAGCACUGGGAGAAGAGACUCGAAAGUCUCUUUUAAGGAUGAAGGAAGAGGAUUUUAUUGAAAGGCUCAUGUACAGGUUUGACAGCAAAAGAUUUUGCAGAGAUUGUAGAAGGAAUGUUAUUCGUGAGUUCAAGGAGCUAAAGGAGCUCAAGCGCAUGCGGCGAGAACCUCGCUGCACCGGUUGGUUUUGUGUUGCAGAUACAGCUUUCCAAUAUGAGGUAUCUGAUAACAAAAUCCAGGCUGAUUGGCGCCAAACUUUUGCUGAUACCGCUGGAUUGUAUCAUCACUUUGAAUGGGCAGUUGGAACAGGAGAAGGAAAAUCCGAUAUUCUAGAAUUUGAAAAUGUAGGCAUGAAUGGAAGUGUUCAAGUUAAUGGCUUAGAUCUUGGUGGUUUAACUGCAUGUUUUAUCUCUUUGAGGGCUUGGAAACUAGAUGGCCGCUGUACUGAGCUAUCUGUAAAGGCUCAUGCAUUAAGGGGUCAACAAUGCGUCCAUUGCAGGCUAGUUAUAGGUGAUGGUUUUGUUACAAUUACUAGAGGGGAAAGUAUCAGAAGGUUUUUUGAACAUGCUGAAGAGGCCGAGGAAGAAGAGGAUGAUGAUUCCAUGGACAAGGAUGGGAAUGAGCUAGAUGGAGAAUGCUCCCGUCCCCAAAAGCAUGCGAAGAGUCCUGAACUUGCUCGAGAAUUUCUUCUAGAUGCUGCAACAGUUAUUUUCAAGGAGCAGGUUGAAAAGGCUUUCAGAGAAGGAACUGCACGCCAAAAUGCACAUAGCAUCUUUGUUUGUCUUGCAUUAAAACUGCUGGAAGAGCGUGUUCAUGUUGCAUGCAAAGAAAUUAUCACAUUGGAAAAGCAGAUGAAACUUCUUGAAGAAGAGGAAAAGGAAAAGCGUGAUGAAGAAGAACGCAAGGAGAGAAGAAGAGCUAAAGAAAGAGAGAAAAAGCUUCGAAGAAAGGAGAGGUUAAAGGGGAAGGAAAGGGAUAAAGAAAAGAAGUGCUCUGAAUCAAAUGAUUCUCUUGAAAUCUCAAAGGCUGAAACAUCAGCAAUUGCUGACGAGGAACCUAAUAAUGAUGUCAGCUGUAAGGAUUCAGUUAGUGAAACUGGUGACGUUUCAUUAUCCAGGCCUGGAUCUCCAGAUAUUCAAGAACAAUUCUUGAAAGGUUAUACCUCUUCGGCAAUGCAAAGCAACUCCUGUGGUAGUCCUGAUGGAGAAGUCACUAAUGUGAAUGAUGGGACUGGCUCUUUUAUGAUUGAACAAUCAAAAUUUUCUCGUCGGAGAUUGAAAUUUCGGAAAGAAGUUCUGAUUGAUCCCUCUUUGAAGUUGUCUGAUAGAUGUCGAUUUGCCAUUGUUUCAGGAAAUGGGGCUAUGGUUAAUAGAUCUGAGUCAAGACAUUACACUGACAAUUUUGAGACUCCUCCAAGGGGUGUCACCGGAUUGAAUAGGCAGUCAAGGAUAAAUAGACAGAAGUCUAAUGGUCGAACUUGCAGCCUUAAGUUUAAUGAGAAGUUUCAUUGUCUUAACAAUAGGAUGAAUGAAAGAUAUGACUUCCAUUCUUGUAGCUGUCACCAAAACAAUGAAUACAGGGUGAAGGUUGAACCACAUGUUUCUGCAAUAAGAACUGGCCGGGAUAGCAAAUCUGUUGGUAAGUCAGAGUCUACACUAGAUAUGUCCAAGAAAUUUUAUUGUGGGAACAAGUAUGGGCAAAUAGAUUACAUGCGUGAAAGUUGUGUAAGACCCAAAAGCAAAAGCAUCACAGCAAACAAUUCUUGUAGCAGGGAUUUGCUUCAUUCUAAGAAAGUGUGGGAACCUACAGAAUCAUACAAAAAGUAUACUCGGAGCAACUCAGACAGUGAUGUUACCUUGAGGUCAUCUACUUUCAAUAACUUAUUCAAGUCACCUGGUGGUAAGUGUUCUGGUGAAGUUACUGGAAAUUUUGGUGAAAUUGAUCAUGAGAAUAAUAAGGGGGAAUCAGGAAACUCUAACCACAGAAUCAAUAAAGGCUUCCAGAAUGGACACAAUGUGGCAGUGAAGGAGCUUUGCUACUCAACAGAAACUCCUUAUGACGAAGUCAGUUCAUGUCUUGCAAAGAACUCUGGCUCAAGUGGGACUUCUGAUCCUAGCAUAGGCAGCACUUCUAAUUCAGAUAACUGUUCAUCAUGCCUUAGUGAGGGAGAUAGCAAUACGGCAUCUUCAAACCAUGGAAAUAUGGAAUCUUCAUCCACAUCAGAUUCUGAAGAGACUUGUCAACAAUCAGAAGGAAGAGAGACCUCACUAUGUCAAAAUGGUUUCUCGAAUUCGCAUGAGGUGGGCACGGAGAACAAACCAAGUACGAAGGGAGGGGGGGAAUUUGGAAGUAGGAAACUUUUUGGGCAUCCACCAGAUGGUCUGAAAAUGAAUGCUCUGGGAAAUCUGCCAUCAAAAACUGUGCAAAAUACUGAUAAUGGAAUACCAACUGUUGAUAUAGGUUCGCAACAUCAAGGCAUGUUUCCGCCUAUGCAAAACCAAAAUUUACAAUUUCCAGUCUUUCAAGCUCCUCCACUGAAUUACUAUCAUCAAAAUCCUGUUGCUUGGCCAACUGCUCCACCUAAUGGAUUAAUGCCCUUUCCCCACACUAACCACUAUCUAUAUGCUGGCCCUCUUAGCUAUGGUUUAAACGGAAACUCACAGUUAUAUAUGCAGUAUGGUCCCUUGCAGCAUUUGGCAACUCCUAUUUUUAAUCCUGGUCCAGUGCCAGUUUAUCAACCAGUUGGCAAAGCAAAUGGCUUUAACUCAGAAGAGCAAACGAAGAUGUGUUCUGGGCAGGAAGCUUUAACUGAAGCCAAAACAAACAAGAAGGCAACAGCCGGAUCACAUCCAACAGAAGUGCUGCCAAGUGGAGAAGGUGGAAAAGUGGAUAAUUCUGCCAAGUUGCAUGUCAGUGACACCAGCUUUUCCUUGUUCCAUUUUGAUGGGCCUGUCGCUCUAUCUGGAUGUAAACCAGAUCCUGAGCUUUCGAGAGAUGGAAUUGUUGGAGAUCGUUCUUUGAAAGUUUCAGCGGAUCAAGUUGAAAAUGAUCCUGCUUGCAAUAGGAAAGAGACUACUAUGGAAGAAUACAAUUUGUUUGCAGCAAGCAAUGGCAUAAGAUUUUCGUUCUUCUAAUAUAUUAGUGAGAAGGUGUGUGCAGUCCGUGUCCUAUUAGCUAUUGGAAGUCGAGUACUUUGAAGCCAGUACACAAUAAUCUUCCUCAGAGAAAUUGAAAUUUUAGCUACAGUUUUUUCAGUUGAUUGAUACCAAAAUUUUCAAUUUUUUUUCCUUAAAUUUUCAUUGUAGAGGGAGGAAGGGUUGGAAGAGUGGUAUAAUGCUUGAGUUUUUCUGUAUGAGGUCAGAUCUGCCUUUUUUAAUGUCUUUUUAUUAAUGAAGCAUUUGUUGGUAUGAGAUUUUUCUUCUCCUUGGUGUUGGAACAGAAGACAUUUAAUUUUGGACUCCUGUCCAAAAGCUUGAACAUUGGCAGUUUCUGACAGUUGGAGUUUUGACUCUAUAACUGCCUGAUCAUGUCUGUUUAAAACAGAAAUUUACGAAGUCCAUAAAAGGCACUAAUACAG